CCUACGGGAGGCAGCAGUGAGGAAUAUUGGUCAAUGGGCGAGAGCCUGAACCAGCCAAGGCGCGUGAAGGAUGAAGGAUCUAUGGUUUGUAAACUUCUUUUAUAUGGGAAUAAAGUGAGGAACGUGUUACGUUUUGUAUGGACCAUAUGAAUAAGCAUCGGCUAACUCCGUGCCAGCAGCCGCGGUAAUACGGAGGAGGCGAGCGUUAUCCGGAUUGAUUGGGUUUAAAGGGUGCGUAGGUGGUUAAUCAAGUCAGCGGUGAAAGUCUGGGGCUCAACCAUAAAAUUGCCGUUGAAACUGGUUGGCUUGAGUAUUGUUGAGGGAGGCGGAAUGCGAGGUGUAGCGGUGAAAUGCAUAGAUAUCACGCAGAACACCGAUUGCGAAGGCAGCCUACUAGACUAUAACUGACACUGAAGCACGAAAGCGUGGGGAGCAAACAGGAUUAGAUACCCUAGUAGUC
This 460-nucleotide ribosomal RNA is filed under the name uncultured bacterium. RNAcentral describes it as "partial 16S ribosomal RNA". It matches the Rfam family "Bacterial small subunit ribosomal RNA", at positions 338 to 795 of the family's 1533-position model. The record is from RNAcentral.